RNAcentral lists this transfer RNA (78 nucleotides) under Candidatus Cloacimonas sp. 4484_209. RNAcentral describes it as "tRNA-Val". It matches the Rfam family "tRNA". From Rfam's summary of the family: Transfer RNA (tRNA) molecules are approximately 80 nucleotides in length. Their secondary structure includes four short double-helical elements and three loops (D, anti-codon, and T loops). Further hydrogen bonds mediate the characteristic L-shaped molecular structure. tRNAs have two regions of fundamental functional importance: the anti-codon, which is responsible for specific mRNA codon recognition, and the 3' end, to which the tRNAs corresponding amino acid is attached (by aminoacyl-tRNA synthetases). tRNAs cope with the degeneracy of the genetic code in two manners: having more than one tRNA (with a specific anti-codon) for a particular amino acid; and 'wobble' base-pairing, i.e. permitting non-standard base-pairing at the 3rd anti-codon position. Lineage: Bacteria; Pseudomonadati; Candidatus Cloacimonadota; Cloacimonadia (SeqCode); Cloacimonadales (SeqCode); Cloacimonadaceae (SeqCode). RNAcentral also lists the same sequence under 4 other names. The record is from RNAcentral.
GGGCGAUUAGCUCAGAUUGGUUAGAGCGCUUGCUUGACAUGCAAGAGGUCAGCCGUUCAAAUCGGCUAUCGCCCACCA